GGAGUAGGUCAGAUGGUCGCUCCGCCCGAGAGGGCGGGGAGGAAAGUCCGGGCUCCGCAGGGCGCGAUGCUCGCUAACGGCGAGGGGGAGCGAUCCCACGGAAAGUGCCACAGAAAAGAAAACGCCGACCUCCGGGUCGGCAAAGCUGAAACGGUGGUGUAAGAGACCACCAGCUCCGCAGAGAUGCGGAGGCUUGGCAAACCCCAUCGGGAGCAAGGCCGAAUAGGGAGGGGUAGAAGCUGCCCGCCGACCCUCCGGGUAAAGGCCGCACGAGGUGCGCGGCAACGCGCAUCCCAGAUAGAUGACCAUCCGAGACAGAACCCGGCUUAUAGACCUGCUCCAGAU
Molecule: RNase P RNA, 345 nt
Filed under: Armatimonadota bacterium
Lineage: Bacteria; Bacillati; Armatimonadota
Description: Armatimonadetes bacterium (wastewater metagenome) RNase P RNA component class A
Rfam family: Bacterial RNase P class A
About the family: Ribonuclease P (RNase P) is a ubiquitous endoribonuclease, found in archaea, bacteria and eukarya as well as chloroplasts and mitochondria.
Source: RNAcentral